This 252-nucleotide ribosomal RNA is filed under the name uncultured bacterium. RNAcentral describes it as "partial 16S ribosomal RNA". It matches the Rfam family "Bacterial small subunit ribosomal RNA", at positions 527 to 779 of the family's 1533-position model. The record is from RNAcentral.
CGGAGGUGCAAGCGUUAUCCGGAUUUACUGGGUUUAAAGGGUGCGUAGGUGGGUCUGUAAGUCAGUGGUGAAAUCUCCGAGCUUAACUCGGAAACUGCCAUUGAUACUAUAGGUCUUGAAUUAUCUGGAGGUGAGCGGAAUAUGUCAUGUAGCGGUGAAAUGCUUAGAUAUGACAUAGAACACCAAUUGCGAAGGCAGCUCACUACGGAUUGAUUGACACUGAGGCACGAAAGCGUGGGAUCAAACAGGAUU